This 253-nucleotide ribosomal RNA is filed under the name uncultured bacterium. Its description in RNAcentral is "partial 16S ribosomal RNA". It matches the Rfam family "Bacterial small subunit ribosomal RNA", at positions 524 to 776 of the family's 1533-position model. The record is from RNAcentral.
UACGUAGGGGGCAAGCGUUAUCCGGAAUUACUGGGUGUAAAGGGAGCGUAGACGGCUGUGCAAGUCUGAAGUGAAAGCCCAGGGCUCAACCCUGGGACUGCUUUGGAAACUGUGGAGCUAGAGUGCUGGAGAGGUAAGUGGAAUUCCUAGUGUAGCGGUGAAAUGCGUAGAUAUUAGGAGGAACACCAGUGGCGAAGGCGGCUUACUGGACAGUAACUGACGUUGAGGCUCGAAAGCGUGGGGAGCAAACAGG